RNAcentral lists this ribosomal RNA (589 nucleotides) under Botryotrichum sp. RNAcentral's name for it is "partial large subunit ribosomal RNA". It matches the Rfam family "Eukaryotic large subunit ribosomal RNA", at positions 115 to 731 of the family's 3401-position model. Lineage: Eukaryota; Fungi; Ascomycota; Sordariomycetes; Sordariales; Chaetomiaceae. The record is from RNAcentral.
UUGAAAUCUGGCUUCGGCCCGAGUUGUAAUUUGCAGAGGAAGCUUUAGGCGCGGCACCAUCUGAGUCCCCUGGAACGGGGCGCCACAGAGGGUGAGAGCCCCGUAUAGAUGGACGCCUAGCCUGUGUAAAGCUCCUUCGACGAGUCGAGUAGUUUGGGAAUGCUGCUCAAAAUGGGAGGUAAAUUUCUUCUAAAGCUAAAUACCGGCCAGAGACCGAUAGCGCACAAGUAGAGUGAUCGAAAGAUGAAAAGCACUUUGAAAAGAGGGUUAAAUAGCACGUGAAAUUGUUGAAAGGGAAGCGCUUGUGACCAGACUUGCGCCGGGCGGAUCAUCCGGUGUUCUCACCGGUGCACUCCGCCCGGCUCAGGCCAGCAUCGGUUCUCGUGGGGGGAUAAAGGCACCGGGAACGUAGCUCCUCCGGGAGUGUUAUAGCCCGGGGCGUAAUGCCCUCGCGGGGACCGAGGACCGCGCAUCUGCAAGGAUGCUGGCGUAAUGGUCAUCAGCGACCCGUCUUGAAACACGGACCAAGGAGUCAAGGUUUUGCGCGAGUGUUUGGGUGUAAAACCCGCACGCGUAAUGAAAGUGAACG